AUAAAAGCAGUGGCCUAUUGCCUUUAGUGAAUGGGUUGCCCGUAAACUUCAGGGAAACAAAUUUCCAUUGUUAUUGGGUGAACCUCUUGACUUCUUAUGAUUGAUGGUUCAGUAAAUAAUGAUACAUGU
This is a small nucleolar RNA of Lycium ferocissimum, 129 nucleotides long. RefSeq annotates it as small nucleolar RNA snoR74. The record is from RefSeq and is a predicted model, not a curated record. The transcript has a single exon. Lineage: Eukaryota; Viridiplantae; Streptophyta; Magnoliopsida; Solanales; Solanaceae.